AUGAGGGAAGAGUUGGAGGCCCUGAGAAAGAACAAAACAUGGGAGCUAGCGAAUCUUCCAUAUGGGAAGAAGGCAGUCAGUUGUAAGUGGAUCUUCACAGUGAAGCAGAAUCCUGAGGGUAAGGUUGAGCGUUACAAGGCAAGACUGGUAGCCAGAGGGUACAGCCAAACGUAUGGUAUUGAUUAUGACGAAACAUUCGCCCCAGUUGCAAAGAUGAAUACAGUGAGGAUUCUAAUCUCAUGUGCAGCUAACUUUGGAUGGCCACUACACCAACUUGAUGUAAAAAAUGCCUUUUUACAUGGAGGUCUACAAGAGGAAGUCUACAUGGAAAUUCCUCCUGGACUUUCUACACCUGGGACUGUUGGGAAGGUUUGUAGAUUGAGAAAAUCUCUCUAUGGUUUGAAGCAAUCGCCAAGGGCUUGGUUUGACCGGUUCAGGCAAGCAGUUUGCAGUAUGGAGUAUAAACAAUGCAAUGGAGAUCACACUGUUUUCUAUAAACAUUCCAAGCAACAGAUUACUAUUCUUGCAGUAUAUGUGGAUGACAUCAUAAUAACGGGAGACAAUGAAGAGGAGAUUGGAAGACUAAAGAAAUGCCUAGGCAAAGCAUUUGAAGUUAAGGAUCUUGGUCAGCUAAAAUAUUUCCUGGGUAUCGAAGUUGCAAGAUCAAAGAGGGGAAUAGCCCUGUCUCAGCGGAAGUAUACCUUAGAGCUCCUAAGUGAUAUGGGAAUGCUUGGAUGUAGAGCAGCCCCAACUCCCAUUGAACAAAAUCACAAAUUGACAGCACAGAUGGGUGAACAAGUUAACAAAGCAAAAUAUCAACAAUUGGUUGGCAAACUUCUGUACUUGUGUCACACUAGACCAGAUAUUACAUAUGCAGUAAGUGUAGUAAGUAGAUAUAUGCAUGACCCCAGAAGUGGACACCUUGAUGCAGUCUAUAGAAUCAUGAGGAAUCUAAAGGGCAGCCCUGGUAUGGGACUCUGGUUCAAGAGUAAUGGCCAUUUGAAUGUUGACGGUUAUAGCGAUGCUGAUUGGGCUAGCUGUCUUGAUGAUAGACGAUCAACCUCUGGCUAUUGUGUGUUUGUUGGUGGAAAUUUGGUAUCAUGGAGAAGCAAAAAACAACCGGUGGUGUCAAAAUCAACUGCAGAAGCUGAGUAUAGGGCAAUGUCUCAAGGGCUGAGUGAGAUGUUAUGGGUAAGAGGCCUUCUGCUUGAGCUGAAAGUGCUCAGACAAGAUCCUCUGAAUGUGUGGUGUGACAACAAAUCUGCAAUCAGCAUUGCUAAUAAUCCAGUGCAACAUGACAGAACAAAACAUGUGGAGAUAGACAGAUUCUUUAUCAAAGAGAAACUGGAUGCAGGAAUCAUCAAGAUAACUCAUGUGAGCUCUGGACAACAAGUCGCCGAUUGUCUGACAAAAGGUUUGGGAACCAGGGAGAGCAAUCUUGCUUGUGACAAGAUGGGCAUGAUAGAUAUCUAUCAUCCCUCUUGA
Molecule: ribosomal RNA, 1485 nt
Filed under: Triticum aestivum (bread wheat)
Lineage: Eukaryota; Viridiplantae; Streptophyta; Magnoliopsida; Poales; Poaceae
Description: partial small subunit ribosomal RNA
Source: RNAcentral